This 72-nucleotide transfer RNA is filed under the name Marmota marmota marmota (Alpine marmot). It matches the Rfam family "tRNA". Rfam says of the family: Transfer RNA (tRNA) molecules are approximately 80 nucleotides in length. RNAcentral also lists the same sequence under 1 other name. Lineage: Eukaryota; Metazoa; Chordata; Mammalia; Rodentia; Sciuridae. The record is from Rfam by way of RNAcentral.
UGGGAUAUAGCUCAGUUGGUAGAGUGCUUGCCUUGCAUGCACAGGCCCUGGGUUCAACCCCCAGCAUCACAA